Molecule: ribosomal RNA, 810 nt
Filed under: uncultured bacterium
Lineage: Bacteria
Description: bacterial SSU rRNA
Rfam family: Bacterial small subunit ribosomal RNA
Source: RNAcentral
AGAGUUUGAUCCUGGCUCAGAACGAACGCUGGCGGCGUGGAUAAGACAUGCAAGUCGGACGGGAACUUUCGUUGUAGCAAUACAGUGGAAGUUUCAGUGGCGAACGGGUGCGUAACACGUGGGCAAUCUGCCUUAAAGUGUGGGAUAGCUCGGCGAAAGCCGGAUUAAUACCGCAUGUGGCUACUGGAGACAUCUUCGGGACGCUAAAGGUGGCGCAAGCUACCGCUUUUUGAGGAGCCCGCGGCCUAUCAGCUUGUUGGUGAGGUAACGGCUCACCAAGGCGUUGACGGGUAGCUGGUCUGAGAGGACGACCAGCCACACUGGGACUGAGACACGGCCCAGACACCUACGGGUGGCAGCAGUCGAGAAUUUUUGACAAUGGGGGAAACCCUGAUCGAGCGACGCCGCGUGGAGGAUGAAGGUCUUCGGGUUGUAAACUCCUGUCAUUUGGGAACAAGGCGUGGGUAUUAACUGUACCCACGUUGAUAGUACCAGAAGAGGAAGAGACGGCUAACUCUGUGCCAGCAGCCGCGGUAAUACAGAGGUCUCAAGCGUUGUUCGGAUUCAUUGGGCGUAAAGGGUGUGUAGGUGGCGCGCUAAGUCGGGUGUGAAAUUUCGGAGCUUAACUCCGAAACUGCAUUCGAUACUGGCGUGCUUGAGGACUGGAGAGGAGACUGGAAUUUACGGUGUAGCAGUGAAAUGCGUAGAUAUCGUAAGGAAGACCAGUGGCGAAGGCGGGUCUCUGGACAGUUCCUGACACUGAGACACGAAGGCCAGGGGAGCAAACGGGAUUAGAUACCCUAGUAGUCC